Molecule: ribosomal RNA, 455 nt
Filed under: uncultured bacterium
Lineage: Bacteria
Description: bacterial SSU rRNA
Rfam family: Bacterial small subunit ribosomal RNA
Source: RNAcentral
UACGGAAGGCAGCAGUGGGGAAUAUUGCACAAUGGGCGCAAGCCUGAUGCAGCCAUGCCGCGUGUAUGAAGAAGGCCUUCGGGUUGUAAAGUACUUUCAGUCGUGAGGAAGGUGUUAAGGUUAAUAACCUUAGCAAUUGACGUUAGCGACAGAAGAAGCACCGGCUAACUCCGUGCCAGCAGCCGCGGUAAUACGGAGGGUGCGAGCGUUAAUCGGAAUUACUGGGCGUAAAGGGCACGCAGGCGGUUAAUUAAGUUGGAUGUGAAAUCCCCGGGCUUAACCUGGGAAUGGCAUUCAAGACUGGUUAGCUAGAGUCUUGUAGAGGGGGUAGAAUUCCAUGUGUAGCGGUGAAAUGCGUAGAGAUGUGGAGGAAUACCGGUGGCGAAGGCGGCCCCUGGGACAAAGACUGGACGCUCAUGUGCGAAAGCGUGGGGAGCAAACAGGGAUUAGAUACC